AUAAAUAAUUCCAUUAGGUUAGGUAUAUAGAAGGUACCGCAAGUGCCUGUGCCUCAUCCACAUUGCUUUCUUCUGUUUUAAUACCGGAAGAAUUUAGAAUAUCUUCACCACAAGAACGGGAAACAAAUAAAAUUGCGGCGGCAAAAGUGAGUCAAAGUGACCCGAAGCAAAACAGCAAACGACGUUCAAAGGAAACCCGACCAAUGCCAUUAUAGUUCCAAUCAGCCCCCUGUCACUUGAAUGAGAGUUACACUCACAAGUUUAAAAAUUUUCAAACUAUAAAUUUUAUAAUUUUAUUGUGACUGAAUGUAAAGUUAUUAUUUGUGUUAUCUAUAAUUUGAAUGAAUAAAUUAAAUAAUUAUUUUUUUCUUA
Dalotia coriaria is the source of this 372-nucleotide long non-coding RNA. RefSeq lists it as uncharacterized. The transcript has 2 exons. The record is from RefSeq and is a predicted model, not a curated record. NCBI's taxonomy places the organism in Eukaryota, Metazoa, Arthropoda, Insecta, Coleoptera, Staphylinidae.